AGUAACACAUUACUAAAUAUUUACAUUGUAAUGAUACAGAGAAGAUUAACAUGGCCCCUUCACAAGGAUGACAUGGAAAUUCAUGCAGCAUUCCACAUGUUU
Molecule: small nuclear RNA, 102 nt
Organism: Nycticebus coucang (slow loris)
Lineage: Eukaryota; Metazoa; Chordata; Mammalia; Primates; Lorisidae
Source: RefSeq, a predicted model, not a curated record